UACGUAGGGGGCAAGCGUUGUCCGGAUUUAUUGGGCGUAAAGAGCGUGUAGGCGGCCAUUCAGGUCAGCUGUGAAAACUCGAGGCUCAACCUCGAGACGUCGGUUGAAACCGUUUGGCUAGAGUCCGGAAGAGGCGAGUGGAAUUCCCGGUGUAGCGGUGAAAUGCGCAGAUAUCGGGAGGAACACCAAUGGCGAAGGCAGCUCGCUGGGACGGUACUGACGCUGAGACGCGAAAGCGUGGGGAGCAAACAGG
Molecule: ribosomal RNA, 253 nt
Filed under: uncultured bacterium
Lineage: Bacteria
Description: partial 16S ribosomal RNA
Rfam family: Bacterial small subunit ribosomal RNA
Source: RNAcentral